AGACAAUAGAUACCCGGGUAGUCCUGGCCCUAAACGAUGUCCACUAGAUUGCGGCGUCUUUGACGGCGUCGCGGUCGAAAGCAAAAAAAGUGUUAAGUGGACCGCCUGGGAAGUACGGUCGCAAGGCUAAAACUCAAAGGAAUUGACGGGGGCUCACACAAGCGGUGGAGCAUGUGGUUCAAUUCGAAGCAACGCGCAGAACCUUACCUGGGUUUGACAUGCCAGGAUUAUCCCGAUGAAAGUCGGGUAGGCCCCGCAAGGGGUACAACUGGUACAGGUGCUGCAUGGCUGUCGUCAGCUCGUGUCGUGAGAUGUCGGGUUAAGUCCCUUAACGAGCGAAACCUUUACCCUUAGUUACCAGCGGGUUAUGCCGGGGACUCUAAGGGGACCGCCGGUGUCAAACCGGAGGAAGGUGGAGAUGACGUCAAGUCCUCAUGGCCUUUAUGCCCAGGGCCACACACGUGCUACAAUGGCGUUCAUAAAGCGACCCUAAAGCGCGAGCUCAUGGAAAUCGCAAAAACUAACGCCCAGUUCAGAUCGGAGGCUGCAACUCGCCU
This 557-nucleotide ribosomal RNA is filed under the name uncultured bacterium. RNAcentral describes it as "bacterial SSU rRNA". It matches the Rfam family "Bacterial small subunit ribosomal RNA", at positions 775 to 1317 of the family's 1533-position model. The record is from RNAcentral.